GGGAAUAAAUAUUCGACAUUAUUA
This 24-nucleotide non-coding RNA is filed under the name Saprolegnia ferax. The record is from RNAcentral. Lineage: Eukaryota; Oomycota; Saprolegniomycetes; Saprolegniales; Saprolegniaceae.